GCGAGAGUGGCGGAACUGGUAGACGCGCUAGGUUGAGGGCCUAGUGAUCGCAUAGGUCGUGGGGGUUCAAGUCCCCCCUCUCGCA
This 85-nucleotide transfer RNA is filed under the name Myxococcales bacterium. Its description in RNAcentral is "tRNA-Leu". It matches the Rfam family "tRNA". Rfam says of the family: Transfer RNA (tRNA) molecules are approximately 80 nucleotides in length. Their secondary structure includes four short double-helical elements and three loops (D, anti-codon, and T loops). Further hydrogen bonds mediate the characteristic L-shaped molecular structure. tRNAs have two regions of fundamental functional importance: the anti-codon, which is responsible for specific mRNA codon recognition, and the 3' end, to which the tRNAs corresponding amino acid is attached (by aminoacyl-tRNA synthetases). tRNAs cope with the degeneracy of the genetic code in two manners: having more than one tRNA (with a specific anti-codon) for a particular amino acid; and 'wobble' base-pairing, i.e. permitting non-standard base-pairing at the 3rd anti-codon position. Lineage: Bacteria; Pseudomonadati; Myxococcota; Myxococcia; Myxococcales. The record is from RNAcentral.